RNAcentral lists this transfer RNA (72 nucleotides) under Camelus bactrianus (Bactrian camel). It matches the Rfam family "tRNA". Rfam says of the family: Transfer RNA (tRNA) molecules are approximately 80 nucleotides in length. Lineage: Eukaryota; Metazoa; Chordata; Mammalia; Artiodactyla; Camelidae. RNAcentral also lists the same sequence under 2 other names. The record is from Rfam by way of RNAcentral.
GAGGGUAUAGCUAAGUGGUAGAGUGUGUGCUUAGCAUGCACGAAGUCCUGGGUUCAAUCUUCACUACCUCUA